UACGGGGGGGGCAAGCGUUGUUCGGAAUUACUGGGCGUAAAGGGUUCGUAGGUGGCUUGCUCAGUCAGACGUGAAAUCCCUCAGCUUAACUGGGGAACUGCGUCUGAUACUGGCGAGCUUGAGUGCAGGAGAGGAACGCGGAAUUCCAGGUGUAGCGGUGAAAUGCGUAGAUAUCUGGAGGAACACCGGUGGCGAAGGCGGCGUUCUGGACUGCAACUGACACUGAUGAACGAAAGCCAGGGGAGCAAACGGG
This 253-nucleotide ribosomal RNA is filed under the name uncultured bacterium. RNAcentral describes it as "partial 16S ribosomal RNA". It matches the Rfam family "Bacterial small subunit ribosomal RNA", at positions 524 to 776 of the family's 1533-position model. The record is from RNAcentral.